CUCCCCAGCCAUGUUCGGCGGCCGAAAGUUCCUUCGGCUGCCGAACCUGGUUUCUGCCAAAGGGCAGAAACUUGGCUCCUUCAAGCACAUUUGCCUCUAAAACUUCCAAUCAUGCAUUUAGCUCAACCAAAACAUGCAAAUAUACAUACAUUGGCUCCUAGGGGCUUCAAACUAACUUCAACCCCAACUACAACACACAACAACAACACAAAUCCAACAUACAUUGCUCAAAACAUA
Molecule: long non-coding RNA, 237 nt
Filed under: Manihot esculenta (cassava)
Lineage: Eukaryota; Viridiplantae; Streptophyta; Magnoliopsida; Malpighiales; Euphorbiaceae
Description: long non-coding RNA (MESC_LNC000204)
Source: RNAcentral